Molecule: transfer RNA, 61 nt
Filed under: Bemisia tabaci
Lineage: Eukaryota; Metazoa; Arthropoda; Insecta; Hemiptera; Aleyrodidae
Description: tRNA-Ser
Source: RNAcentral
AAAAACUUUUCAAAACAUAGCUUCUAACUAUGUAAAAGUAAUAUACAUUUACUAAAGUUUU